AUGAGCUCCACGCAGUUCAACAAGGGGCCCUGCACGGGCUCUCGGCCGAGGUCAAGGACCGGCUGCAGUCCAAAUAUGACCCUCAGGAGGAGGUGGAGCUCUGAAGCUGGAUUGAGGGACUCACUGGCCUCUCCGUUGGCCUGGACUUCCAGAAGGGUCUGAAGGAUGGGAUCAUAUUGUGCACACUCAUGAAUAAACUGCAGCCAGGCUCAAUCCCUAAGAUCAGCCGCUCCAUGCAGAAGUGGCACCAGCUAGAAAACCUCUCCAGCAUCAUCAAGGCCAUGGUGAGCUGCGGCAUGAAUCCUGUUGACCUGUUCGAGGCUAACGACCUGUUUGAAAGGGGGAACUUGACUCAGGUGCAGGCGUCUCUUCUUGCCCUGGCUGGGAAGGCCAAGACAGAGGGGCUGCAGAGUGCUGUGGACAUUGGCGUCAAAUACUCGGAGAGGCAGGAGCGAAACUUUGAUGAUGCCACCAUGAAGGUGGGCCAGUGCGUCAUUGGGCUCCAGAUGGGCACCAACAAAUGUGCCAGCCAGUCCGGCAUGACAGCUGACGGCACCAGACGGCAUCUGUACGACCCCAAAAACCAUAUCCUGCCCACCAUGGACCACUCGACCGUCAGCCUCCAGAUGGGCACAAACAAGUGUGCCAGCCAGGUGGGCAUGACGGCUCCAGGGACCUGGCGGCACAUUUACGACACAAAGCUGGGGGCAGGCAAAUGUGGUAAUUCCUCCAUGUCCCUGCAGAUGGGCUACACACGGGGUGCCCACCAGAGCGGUCAGGUGUUUGGCCUGGGCCGGCAGAUAUACGACCCCAAGUACUGCCCUCAAGGCUAGUGGCCGAUGGGGCUCCGGCAGCUGCUGGAGAUGGCCCAGGCCCAGGGGAGCCCUCAGAGUGCCCUCCCUACUACCAGGAGGAGGCAGGCUACUGAGACACCCGUGCGGGCCAUCUCCCCACAUCAUCACCCCA
RNA transcript from Cervus elaphus (red deer), 966 nucleotides. It is a transcript of the gene named calponin-2-like, with no coding region annotated. NCBI's taxonomy places the organism in Eukaryota, Metazoa, Chordata, Mammalia, Artiodactyla, Cervidae. The record is from RefSeq and is a predicted model, not a curated record. The transcript has a single exon.